GUGGAGCCCGAGAAGGGGUGCCUCCUUAUCGCCACGGAGAAGCUGGACGGGUCGCACAUCUUCGAGCGCACGGUGAUCCUGCUCCUCUCCGCCGGCGUGCUGGGCCCUGUAGGCGUGAUCCUGAACCGCCCGUCGCUCAUGUCCAUCAAGGAGGCGGAGUCCAUCUUCGCAGACGACGCUGACAUCGCGGGCGCCUUCUCGGGCCGGCCGCUCUUCUUCGGUGGGCCGCUGGAGGAGUGCUUCUUCAUCCUGGGACCGCGGGCCGCCGCCGGCAGCGACGUAGUGGCGCGGACGGGGCUGUUCGAGGAGGUGAUGCCGGGCCUGCACUACGGCACGCGGGAGAGCGUCCGGUGCGCCGCGGAGCUGGCCAAGCGCGGCGUGGUGGGCGUCCGGGACUUCCGCUUCUUCGACGGCUUCUGCGGGUGGGAACGGGAGCAGCUGCGCGACGAGGUGCGCGCGGGGCUCU
Molecule: long non-coding RNA, 466 nt
Filed under: Setaria italica (foxtail millet)
Lineage: Eukaryota; Viridiplantae; Streptophyta; Magnoliopsida; Poales; Poaceae
Description: long non-coding RNA (SITA_LNC006827)
Source: RNAcentral